RNAcentral lists this ribosomal RNA (486 nucleotides) under uncultured bacterium. Its description in RNAcentral is "bacterial SSU rRNA". It matches the Rfam family "Bacterial small subunit ribosomal RNA", at positions 372 to 872 of the family's 1533-position model. The record is from RNAcentral.
UGGGCGAAAGCCUGACGGAGCAACGCCGCGUGGAUGAAGAAGUCCUUCGGGAUGUAAAGUCCUUUCAGCAGGGACGAGUCGAAGACGGUACCUGCAGAAGAAGCAUCGGCUAACUACGUGCCAGCAGCCGCGGUAAUACGUAGGAUGCAAGCGUUGUCCGGAAUUAUUGGGCGUAAAGCGUACGUAGGCGGUUUGUUAAGUCAGGGGUUAAAGACUGAGGCUCAACCUCAGGAGUGCCCUUGAUACUGGCAGGCUGGAGGACGGCAGAGGAAAGUGGAAUUCCCAGUGUAGCGGUGAAAUGCGUAGAUAUUGGGAGGAACACCAGUGGCGAAAGCGACUUUCUGGGCCGUUCCUGACGCUGAGGUACGAAAGCGUGGGGAGCAAACAGGAUUAGAUACCCUGGUAGUCCACGCCGUAAACGAUGGAUACUAGGUGUAGAGGGUAUCGACCCCCUCUGUGCCGUAGCUAACGCGUUAAGUAUCCCGC